RNAcentral lists this ribosomal RNA (377 nucleotides) under uncultured delta proteobacterium. RNAcentral's name for it is "bacterial SSU rRNA". It matches the Rfam family "Bacterial small subunit ribosomal RNA", at positions 521 to 896 of the family's 1533-position model. The record is from RNAcentral. Lineage: Bacteria; Deltaproteobacteria.
UAAUACGGAGAGUGCAAGCGUUGUUCGGAAUUAUUGGGCGUAAAGGGCAUCUAGGUGGCCCGUCAAGUCAGAUGUGAAAGCCCUCGGCUCAACCGAGGAAGUGCAUUUGAAACUGGCGGGCUUGAGUUCCUGAGGGGGCGGCGGAAUUUCCGGUGUAGAGGUGAAAUUCGUAGAUAUCGGAAGGAACACCAGUGGCGAAGGCGGCCGCCUGGCAGGAUACUGACACUAAAGUGCGAAAGCGUGGGGAGCAAACAGGAUUAGAUACCCUGGUAGUCCACGCCGUAAACGAUGGGUACUGGCCGUACUGGGAGUUGACCCCCGGUGUGGCGUAGCUAACGCGUUAAGUACCCCGCCUGGGGAGUACGGCCGCAAGGCUA